UACAGAGGGUGCGAACGUUGCUCGGAAUUACUGGGCGUAAAGCGCGUGUAGGCGGAACGAUAAGUCGGAAGUGAAAUCCCCGGGCUCAACCCGGGAACUGCUUUCGAAACUGCCGUUCUCGAGUACCGGAGAGGGUGGCGGAAUUCCUGGUGUAGAGGUGAAAUUCGUAGAUAUCAGGAGGAACACCGGUGGCGAAGGCGGCCACCUGGACGGUCACUGACGCUGAGACGCGAAAGCGUGGGGAGCAAACAGG
Molecule: ribosomal RNA, 253 nt
Filed under: uncultured bacterium
Lineage: Bacteria
Description: partial 16S ribosomal RNA
Rfam family: Bacterial small subunit ribosomal RNA
Source: RNAcentral